Long non-coding RNA from Polyodon spathula (Mississippi paddlefish), 687 nucleotides. RefSeq lists it as uncharacterized. NCBI's taxonomy places the organism in Eukaryota, Metazoa, Chordata, Actinopteri, Acipenseriformes, Polyodontidae. The transcript has 3 exons. The record is from RefSeq and is a predicted model, not a curated record.
AAGUUUAAGAGCAUGAGUGCUAAAGAAAUCAAUAAACAGUGUGAAAGGCUAGUCUAAGUAUUUUCAGGAUCUGACAAAUGGUUUGGGAAGUGAAGUUCACCAUCUGAAGAAAAUCUACAACGCCACUUUUCAAAACAAUUUAAGGCCUUUGAACCUAUUUAAUGUAAUCUACAACAUGAAACUGCAAACUAGUUUUGGUGAAAUUUGCUUAUCCAUUAAGAUCUUUUGCAGACUGCCUGUGAUUGUUGCUGAGGAUGAAAGAACUUUCAGUAAACGUCAGGUCAAAAGCUUUCUCCAAUCCACUGUGUGUCAGGACUGAUUGAACAAAUUUGCCAUUCUGUCAAUUGAAUGUGACUUGCUUGCAAAAUUCACUUCAAAGACAUAAUUCACGACUUUGCAAAUAAGAAAGCACAACGGUGUGUUCUGUAUUACAGCUUAGGAAGCCACCAAAGGACCAGGGAAGGAGAAAGGACAACCAUACAGAUGAUGCGGUAUCCUUCCACAAUGCCACCCUUACUCAGCUCAUCAACAGCAAAAUACUGAAGAAACAUCGCAACUGUCCAUGGUAUACCCUCGAACUCUGACUGCUAAAGUCUGCCUGCCAUCAUAGCAUUUUUCUUGACCGUCUUCAGAAGUAUGCUGGGAUCUCUGUCUCUCCUGGCUGUCCUCUUACCUAUCUGGACACAC